Long non-coding RNA from Bombyx mori (domestic silkworm), 485 nucleotides. RefSeq lists it as uncharacterized. The transcript is spliced from 2 exons. The record is from RefSeq and is a predicted model, not a curated record. Lineage: Eukaryota; Metazoa; Arthropoda; Insecta; Lepidoptera; Bombycidae.
AGUCACUGGCUCCUAUGGCAAUACAACGCAGGCGGCCGCAGAGUAUAUAAUUCUAUGGCGCGGCGAGUGGACACCAGAUGUGUGCACUGCAUUCUCUGAAAGUGACGAGCAUCCAGUUAGUGAGGCAAUUGAUCAUGCUGAAGCUGUUGAAGAUCCAUUCUCCGACUCUGAUCGAAUAACGGGCGAGGACGCACCGCCGUCAGGAGAGGCCGUCUAAGGAAAGAAGACCUAGGAAGUGGGCGUGGCCUGCUGACGUAAUACAGCAGCGACUUCAGACUGGUCGGAGUUGAAGAGGGGAGUUGAGGACACCUCUAACAUAUUGCCUCGUUCACGGCCUCUUUCUGAUCUCAGCACCAGGGAUAGACGGACGUUGUACAUUCGCGUGUCAACUUAGUUACCCACAUUUUGUCAUUAGUAUUUAAAAUCAAUAAUUGUUGAAAAUUGUAUUUUGUAUUGUUCUAAUUAUAUAUUUUUUAAUAUUUUGA